RNAcentral lists this unclassified non-coding RNA (355 nucleotides) under soil metagenome. RNAcentral describes it as "partial contains 5.8S ribosomal RNA, internal transcribed spacer 2, and large subunit ribosomal RNA". The stretch from base 1 to 120 matches the Rfam family "5.8S ribosomal RNA", at positions 35 to 154 of the family's 154-position model. The record is from RNAcentral.
GAUGAAGAACGUAGCGAAAUGCGAUAAGUAGUGUGAAUUGCAGAAUUCAGUGAAUCAUCGAAUCUUUGAACGCACAUUGCGCCUUCUAGUAUUCUGGGAGGCAUGCCUGUUUGAGCGUCAUUAAACCUCUCUCAAGUAUGAUUACUUGGAUGUGAAGGAAGAGUACCUUAAACUUAAGGAGUGUUCUCCUUUGAAAUUGAUUAGCAGAUGGUAAUGUUAUUAAAUCCCUGAUGUUGUAAGAAAUAACAGUGGUUUUGUAGACUAUUAUCUAGCUUUAAAUUAUAAUUUUUAUUAUGGUUGACCUCAAAUCAGGUAAGGAUACCCGCUGAACAUAAGCAUAUCAAUAAGCGGAGGA